This is a non-coding RNA of Pelobates cultripes (western spadefoot toad), 237 nucleotides long. Lineage: Eukaryota; Metazoa; Chordata; Amphibia; Anura; Pelobatidae. The record is from the annotation of a GenBank genome assembly.
CUCAUUCCCGGGAUGUGUUCCGCUUGCACUGAUAUGUUGCGGUCCAGGCAGAACUCCCAGAAAUCCUUCGCCAAUUCCGCAAGUAUUGCUGACCUCGUGCCCCCGAAGUGGUUGAUAUAUCGAACUGCGGACACGUUGGCAAUUGAUAUGAAGUCCCUGUUCCUCCCUGGACCAUCUUCCUCCGGUGGAGAAAGGUCCGCAGCGCGCACCCCAACUGAGCAAGCUUGCAUCGGAUUC